GAUGAACGCUGGCGGCGUGCCUAAUACAUGCAAGUCGAGCGAACGGACGAGAAGCUUGCUUCUCUGAUGUUAGCGGCGGACGGGUGAGUAACACGUGGAUAACCUACCUAUAAGACUGGGAUAACUUCGGGAAACCGGAGCUAAUACCGGAUAAUAUUUUGAACCGCAUGGUUCAAAAGUGAAAGACGGUCUUGCUGUCACUUCUAGAUGGAUCCGCGCUUCAUUAGCUAGUUGGUAAGGUAACGGCUUACCAAGGCAACGAUGCGUAGCCGACCUGAGAGGGUGAUCGGCCACACUGGAGCUGAGACACGGUCCAGACUCCUAAGGGAGGCAGCAGUAGGGAAUGUGCGGCAAUGGGCGAAAGCCUGACGGAGCAACGCCGCGUGAGUGAUGAAGGUCUUCGGAUCGUAAAACUCUGUUAUUAGGGAAGAACAUAUGUGUAAGUAACUGUGCACAGCUUGACGGUAACGAAUCAGAAAGCCACGGCUAACUACGUG
RNAcentral lists this ribosomal RNA (497 nucleotides) under uncultured bacterium. RNAcentral describes it as "partial 16S ribosomal RNA". It matches the Rfam family "Bacterial small subunit ribosomal RNA", at positions 28 to 507 of the family's 1533-position model. The record is from RNAcentral.